RNAcentral lists this ribosomal RNA (468 nucleotides) under uncultured bacterium. RNAcentral describes it as "partial 16S ribosomal RNA". It matches the Rfam family "Bacterial small subunit ribosomal RNA", at positions 28 to 507 of the family's 1533-position model. The record is from RNAcentral.
GACGAACGCUGGCGGCGUGCUUAACACAUGCAAGUCGAACGGAAAGGCCCUGCUUUUGUGGGGUGCUCGAGUGGCGAACGGGUGAGUAACACGUGAGUAACCUGCCCUUGACUUUGGGAUAACUUCAGGAAACUGGGGCUAAUACCGGAUAGGAGCUCCUGCUGCAUGGUGGGGGUUGGAAAGUUUCGGCGGUUGGGGAUGGACUCGCGGCUUAUCAGCUCGUUGGUGGGGUAGUGGCUUACCAAGGCUUUGACGGGUAGCCGGCCUGAGAGGGGGACCGGCCACAUUGGGACUGAGAGACGGCGCAGACGCCUACGGGAGGCAGCAGUGGGGAAUAUUGCACAAUGGGCGGAAGCCUGAUGCAGCAACGCCGCGUGCGGGAUGACGGCCUUCGGGUUGUAAACCGCUUUCGCCUGUGACGAAGCGUGAGUGACGGUAAUGGGUAAAGAAGCACCGGCUAACUACGUG